CCUACGGGAGGCAGCAGUGGGGAAUAUUGGACAAUGGGGGGAACCCUGAUCCAGCCAUGCCGCGUGUGUGAAGAAGGCCCUCGGGUUGUAAAGCACUUUCAGUGAGGAAGAACGCCUGGUGGUUAAUACCCAUCAGGAAAGACAUCACUCACAGAAGAAGCACCGGCUAACUCCGUGCCAGCAGCCGCGGUAAUACGGAGGGUGCGAGCGUUAAUCGGAAUUACUGGGCGUAAAGCGCGCGUAGGUGGCUUGAUAAGCCGGUUGUGAAAGCCCCGGGCUCAACCUGGGAACGGCAUCCGGACCUGUCAAGCUAGAGUGCAGGAGAGGAAGGUAGAAUCCCCGGUGUAGCGGAGAAUGGCGUAGAGAUCGGGAGGAAUACCAGUGGCGAAGGCGGCCUUCUGGACUGACACUGACACUGAGGUGCGAAAGCGUGGGUAGCAAACAGGAUUAGAUACCCCUGUAGUC
Molecule: ribosomal RNA, 465 nt
Filed under: Vreelandella stevensii
Lineage: Bacteria; Pseudomonadati; Pseudomonadota; Gammaproteobacteria; Oceanospirillales; Halomonadaceae
Description: partial 16S ribosomal RNA
Rfam family: Bacterial small subunit ribosomal RNA
Source: RNAcentral